Molecule: transfer RNA, 122 nt
Filed under: Candidatus Woesearchaeota archaeon
Lineage: Archaea; Nanobdellati; Candidatus Woesearchaeota
Description: tRNA-Glu
Source: RNAcentral
GCCUCGUUGGUGUAGUCCGGCUAAUCAUCCGGCCCUCUCGCGGCCGGGACCUGGGUUCAAAUACUUGGCGACGAUAGUUACUAGUUACGAAAAGCGCCAGGCUGAAUGUCCCAGACGAGGCA